GACUUGCUUCCCUCUUUGGCUCCUCCACCCCGUCUUCCUGAGACGACCAUUCGCCCUGUGGGGAGGAUCGAGAUUCCGCCUCAGUCUGUCCGCUAUGCAAGGCCGAUUGGUAUCACCGAGGACCAUAUUGCUGACGCGCCAGCGGGUUACAGACAGGCGCAGGAGUCUCUGCCCGAGGUCUUUGAGCCGCCUAACCGCC
Molecule: long non-coding RNA, 199 nt
Organism: Chenopodium quinoa (quinoa)
Lineage: Eukaryota; Viridiplantae; Streptophyta; Magnoliopsida; Caryophyllales; Amaranthaceae
Exons: 3
Source: RefSeq, a predicted model, not a curated record